AUUGAACGCUGGCGGCAUGCCUUACACAUGCAAGUCGAACGGCAGCACGGGUGCUUGCACCUGGUGGCGAGUGGCGAACGGGUGAGUAAUACAUCGGAACAUGUCCUGUAGUGGGGGAUAGCCCGGCGAAAGCCGGAUUAAUACCGCAUACGAUCUACGGAUGAAAGCGGGGGACCUUCGGGCCUCGCGCUCUUGGGGUGGCCGAUGGCUGAUUAGCUAGUUGGUGGGGUAAAGGCCUACCAAGGCGACGAGCAGUAGCUGGUCUGAGAGGACGACCAGCCGCACUGGGACUGAGACACGGCCCAGACUCCUACGGGAGGCAGCAGUGGGGAAUUUGGGACAAUGGGCGAAAGCCUGAUCCAGCAAUGCCGCGUGUGUGAAGAAGGCCUUCGGGUUGUAAAGCACUUUUGUCCGGAAAGAAAUCCUUGGCCCUAAUACGGUCGGGGGAUGACGGUACCGGAAGAAUAAGCACCGGCUAACUACG
Molecule: ribosomal RNA, 484 nt
Filed under: uncultured bacterium
Lineage: Bacteria
Description: partial 16S ribosomal RNA
Rfam family: Bacterial small subunit ribosomal RNA
Source: RNAcentral